UGCACAUACUACUGCAAGUCGCUCUGGAUAAGAGCGUCUGCUAAAUGACUCAAA
Molecule: non-coding RNA, 54 nt
Organism: Salmo salar (Atlantic salmon)
Lineage: Eukaryota; Metazoa; Chordata; Actinopteri; Salmoniformes; Salmonidae
Source: Rfam